RNAcentral lists this ribosomal RNA (439 nucleotides) under uncultured bacterium. RNAcentral's name for it is "bacterial SSU rRNA". It matches the Rfam family "Bacterial small subunit ribosomal RNA", at positions 340 to 773 of the family's 1533-position model. The record is from RNAcentral.
UACGGGAGGCAGCAGUGGGGAAUAUUGCACAAUGGGCGCAAGCCUGAUGCAGCCAUGCCGCGUGUAUGAAGAAGGCCUUCGGGUUGUAAAGUACUUUCAGUCGUGAGGAAGGUGUUAAGGUUAAUAACCUUAGCAAUUGACGUUAGCGACAGAAGAAGCACCGGCUAACUCCGUGCCAGCAGCCGCGGUAAUACGGAGGGUGCGAGCGUUAAUCGGAAUUACUGGGCUAAAGGGCACGCAGGCGGUUAAUUAAGUUGGAUGUGAAAUCCCCGGGCUUAACCUGGGAAUGGCAUUCAAGACUGGUUAGCUAGAGUCUUGUAGAGGGGGUAGAAUUCCAUGUGUAGCGGUGAAAUGCGUAGAGAUGUGGAGAAAUACCGGUGGCGAAGGCGGCCCCUGGACAAAGGACUGACGCUCAUGUGCGAAAGCGUGGGGAGCAAAC